Non-coding RNA from Odocoileus virginianus texanus, 1099 nucleotides. The record is from RefSeq and is a predicted model, not a curated record. Lineage: Eukaryota; Metazoa; Chordata; Mammalia; Artiodactyla; Cervidae.
GCCCACUUGACUUCGAAUUCCAGGAUGUCUGGCUUUAGCGCUCCCUCAGCCUGGGACAUCUCACCCCUUUCCCAUCUGCUGAGCAAACUUCAUGCAUCUUCAAGACUUGGCCGCUGUGACUUCUCUCAGACUCUCGGCCGCUGUGACUUCUCUCAGGCUCCUGUCACGCAAGGUCAGACGUGAAAUGCUCGGCGUCGCGCCCACGCAUGCCGUCCGUGGAGCAGCCUCUGUAACCCCCACAGCUCUGGGAGUCUGCGAGCAGGGGCCACGCCUGGUCUGCGUCCUCCUCAGCACAGCAGCAGGCGCUAUGUUGUCGGCAUGAGUGAAGAUGGCUGCGGAUGCCUGGGACGCCCAGAAGCCCAACAGAACAGAGACUGACUGUGUGACUACAGAUGUCCUCAGGAGGGAGAGGAGCCAAGGAGACUCCCGCGUCCACAAAUGCUCCCUGCCCUAAAUCGAAUGCUAUCGUUCCACCGUGUGACCUUGCCACAACUCACUCAGUUCUGUCAUUUACAGACAUGAGCUGACAGUAUCAUAAGAACUAUGAUGAUGCCGACAGCUGACAUACGAAGACUUUACUAUGUGACAGGCACCAGGCGUGGAUAAAUUGGCUUAAUGCUAACAACCUAAUGAGGCCGGCACUCCUCUUCACCUUACAGAUGUGAAACAAGGCACAAUGAACUUAAGCAACAGGUCAGAAUCUGCACCUGCUGGCCAGCGGUCAAACUCGGUAACGCUGAUGCCAGAGCCGUAUUCAUACCCAAAACAUGCUUCUGAGGUAGGAAGCUGAUGCCAUGAUUAACCAAAACAUGAUCAAAAUAGAAAAGGCCUAAGUAAGCCAUAAGGAAAAUUAUAAACACACCAUCUAAAUUGCUCAUUUUCAACAAAAUCUCACAGUAUAAAAAUAAUAUGUGAAAUAUUUUGGUCAUUUUUCUCUUCCUCCUCACUUGAAGAUACUGAACUUCUGGGUCUGUAAUGUUCUUCUGCAUUCUUUUUACUACCCGUUCCUUUUUCUCAUUAAACUAUACCUCUGUCAAUUAUCCAGUUCUUUAAAAGAAAACCUUAAUCCACAUUACUGCUUUUUCUUCUGUAAAGCACA